This is a long non-coding RNA of Rattus norvegicus (Norway rat), 1126 nucleotides long. RefSeq lists it as uncharacterized. NCBI's taxonomy places the organism in Eukaryota, Metazoa, Chordata, Mammalia, Rodentia, Muridae. The record is from RefSeq and is a predicted model, not a curated record.
CUUACUAAGGGCUUCUAACAAGCAGGAGUAUCAUUUCAAAGUGAAUGCUAACAAGAUUGACUAUAUUUUCAGAAUAAAGUAAGGCUUUGCUUCAUAACCUUUUCUUUCCCUUCUGUAUAUAAAGCUGAGAAAACAAACAGAAGAAAUGCUGAGAGGCACAAGUGCUACGGAAUGCUCUAGGUGGUCAAGGACUAUUAUAACCUGAGUCAGGCUUCCUUCACCGUGGACACAUACCAUCGGUCUACACUAGGACCUGCAUGGGAUGCUCGGGGAGCCUUCAGCUCAGGAGCCUGUUAACACUGACGACUGCUCGGAGGGAUAAACGCAAGGCCACUGCAGGAACUGGGGUGCCACAAGGCCACUGCGGGAACUGGGGUGCUGCCGGACUACUACUUUGAACCACACAAGUCUGAGAGAAAUUAAAGUAUAACAGUCCCAGACUCCUAGACAGUAGGGACCAAAGACUCCCUGUUCUUCAUGACCACCUAGUAACAAAGUUGGAAAUGGUAAGCCUUAAAUAAUACAAUUGUGAAGACAGACUACAGCUGGAGACCUCUGGGGUUCAGCUUUCGAUCACUGAUGGCAGAAAUGGCCGAGAACAAAGUCACACCAGUUUAUAUGUCCUCCUGUAGAAUGCCAUCAACUGACUGCUGACUCAUUUUGACUCAGAUCACUUUAAGUCAGCGUGGCUUCCCCAGACUGCAUCUAGCAAAAUGAAGUAAAUGGUAAAGGGCUUGUAUUAUGAGGAACCUUACAGGGUGGGUUGUUUCCUGGCUUCUUUGGGGGUAUAUUCCUGAAAAAGAAUGCUUCCAUUUCAAAUGCUCGUGCACACACAUAUGCCUGGACACACACAGCAGUCAAACAAUUGCCUUGUUAUUUAGUGUCUCAGAAAAGAUCAAAGGGAUGGAGGUGGGACAUUGUAAUGUCUAGGAAAAACUCCUUGUCUGGCCUCUGCCUCUGUCUGGCCCACAGGUACCAGUUGUGACUCUAGUCUGUGCCCUACUCUCUGCUCCUCACUACAGAACCCUUCCCCGAUAUGCACUGGCUCAGGGUCUCCCACAUGUUGGUGCACGACUAUCUGCAUUCUCUUCUAUCUCUGCCUUUCUCUCUCAGCUGCAGAGUUCAU